RNAcentral lists this transfer RNA (50 nucleotides) under Rusa unicolor (Sambar). Its description in RNAcentral is "partial tRNA-Phe". Lineage: Eukaryota; Metazoa; Chordata; Mammalia; Artiodactyla; Cervidae. The record is from RNAcentral.
CAAAGCAAGGCACUGAAAAUGCCUAGAUGAGUAUAUUAACUCCAUAAACA